RNAcentral lists this transfer RNA (75 nucleotides) under Flavobacteriaceae bacterium. RNAcentral's name for it is "tRNA-Thr". It matches the Rfam family "tRNA". Rfam says of the family: Transfer RNA (tRNA) molecules are approximately 80 nucleotides in length. Their secondary structure includes four short double-helical elements and three loops (D, anti-codon, and T loops). Lineage: Bacteria; Pseudomonadati; Bacteroidota; Flavobacteriia; Flavobacteriales; Flavobacteriaceae. The record is from RNAcentral.
GCCGAUGUAGCUCAGUGGUAGAGCGUUUCCUUGGUAAGGAAGAGGUCACGAGUUCAACUCUCGUCAUUGGCUCAA